UCUCGCUUCCCACCAGCCCGACCUGGCACGGUCCUGUCCGGGAGACCUUGCGCCUCCCCUAGGAGCCUGGUCCUCCUGAAUGUCUGAAUGGCUUCCUUCCUCUCCUCCCAGUUCCUGUUCAAACUGCCACCUUCGAGCUGAGGUCUGCUUGGCCCCACAUCCUCACAGGUUCUCUUUCUCUUCGUUAAUUCCCUUCCCCCCAACAAUCCCUAAGCCGGAGUUCCUCCCGUGUCUGACCCCCGGGUGCAUGUGCACACACACACGCACACACACACAUCAGUAGUAGCAGCAGCAGCAGGCGUUCAUGGCUACCCUGAGCCACAGCUUUGCAGCGCUCAGAGCAGAGGGGUGAAGAACAUGAGAAACACUAGUCUCCUGUCACAGAGACCUUCAGAAACCCAGGGAAGCCAGGAGCUACCCCAGAAAGGGGCGCUGUUCUCCCAGUAGGCAGGGAAGGAGGGCAGUUGGGACUCUGCCAACCCCAGAAUGGUAGGCAGUUGACAGUUGGAAAAACCAAGGCAAGAAGGGCAGAGAAGCACCUUUGCCCUUAUCAGAGAAGAGCAGAUAGAUACCCCGGUGUCCCUGGGGCCCCACUAGACCAUGAGGCCCUGGAGGGCAGGGCUGGGCCUGGCCCCCACCUUCCCCGCCAGGGCCCAGCUCAGAAGCCUGCAGGCAGAUGCAUUACUAGAAGCUUGUUAGGCUGCGUAGACAGCCUCAGGACACCCUUCCAGCAUUUAAGCUAAACCCCGCAAGGGUGCCUGAGUGGCAGCGGUGGACCCCCUAAACCUGCUCUAUCGCUGAGGUUUCUUGGGAUCUGACAGUCCACCUGAGGGAAGGCAGCAGCUGCAAGGAUAUUUGCCUGGCUGCUCCACCCAUUCUGGGUAACCUGCAGGACACACUCUGGAAAUCAGAAGAACGGUGGUGCCCUCCUACCCCUGAGAGAAAGAACUAAGCUGCUGCAAGCCAAGUGGAAGGAAGGGAGCUUGGAAAUUCAGAGUGAGCAGAAUCAUUUCCUUCCGUCCUCCUGCUCUCUCAGGGAAUGGAUUUGCUUCAUUCUUCCACAUCCCCUUUCAGGGAUCCCUGAAUUCUCUCCCCCACCAAAGAAACCCCCUCCCCUUCACCAGGGCUUCUCUCCUGCUGGUUUGCAGCUUUGAGGAUAGGACUCAUAUUCUGCGCUUUGAGGUCCUUUCCACUGGGGUGCUUGGCUUGAUGCCUUUGUGAGGUAACAAAACCAUAUCCUGCCAGGGUCUGUCAGGUGUCCUUUCCUUCUGCCCCCAGGCUUCCCCUCAGGGGAGACCAAGCUACCAAGGAAGCCUCGCCAAGCUUGGAAUCCCAGAGACCUCCCCACAGGGGCGAAGGUGCCAUCACGCUAGACACCUGCUCAACUUGCUGGUCCCCGGAAAUCUCAGCUGCACUGCUACAAACAAGCCUCCUUCCUUGGAUGUACCCUCUACCUCUGCCUAGGAAGAGACAGCAUUUGACUAAGUGCAAGUUCAGGCUGACCUCUUUCCUCAGAGACAUGCCUCGAGACAUAUAUUCUGGAGUGUUCUGUAGGAAUCAAUCCAACAGGCCUAGAACAUUCGUGACUGAGAAAGCACCUCCUUCACAAUUCUUUGCUGUAGCUGUGUUUACCAUUAACCAAAUCAUGGAGAAUUUCAAAGGGAUUCCUGGUAUCAUCUCCACCUCCGCUUGAUGAUGCCUUUAAAGGACUCAUGGACUCCAGCUGCAGUUCUGUCCAGGUUUUGCAGACACUCGUCCCUUCCUGCCCUUCCUGCUGAGUGCGUUCCACCUGUCUUCACCCGGAAUGCUGAGCCCACAGUGCCCACAGUGAAUGACCAGACUCAACCAGCCGCCCCUGUUGCCUGUGACAGGAGAAUCGGGGGGACAGGCUCCUUCCAAUUCUCUCAAGUUCAGAACCAAGAAGACAAUGCAGUGUUUUCUGAGAAAUGCCCUGUCUGCAAUGUGGGGGGAAGAGAUGGGGGAAGACAGGAGCAGGAGGCCAAAGUUAAGCAGCCUGAGCAGCAAGGGAAAGCCCAGGGCCAGGCUGUGGGAACGGACCCGACUGUGUCGUCUGGCAGCAUAUUUUCACGGAG
This is a long non-coding RNA of Chinchilla lanigera (long-tailed chinchilla), 2093 nucleotides long. RefSeq lists it as uncharacterized. Lineage: Eukaryota; Metazoa; Chordata; Mammalia; Rodentia; Chinchillidae. The transcript is spliced from 3 exons. The record is from RefSeq and is a predicted model, not a curated record.